This 281-nucleotide long non-coding RNA is filed under the name Homo sapiens (human). RNAcentral describes it as "non-protein coding lnc-GABRA5-7:1". Lineage: Eukaryota; Metazoa; Chordata; Mammalia; Primates; Hominidae. The record is from RNAcentral.
AAACAACUUGAAGGAGCCACUGAGAGUUCUUGGCAUUAUUGAGACGUUUGCUCUGUCAAAGGCAAAUUUUGCAAAAAUAACAAGGUCAGAAAACCUUCAUGUUUCUUACAUCUUCCAUAAAGGAAAAACUGAAGUCAAUAAAAAUGGAACCAAAGCUUCAGCAACAAUUGUAAUUCUAAUCACAUGGUUAUCACCUCCUUGCUUUAUACUAGUCAGACAUUUUCUAUUUUUCAUGCAAUGUAAUCCGAAAGUGCUGUCUUACUGAUGGGGCAGACAAACCC